RNAcentral lists this transfer RNA (67 nucleotides) under Parantica sita. RNAcentral describes it as "tRNA-Leu". RNAcentral also lists the same sequence under 1 other name. Lineage: Eukaryota; Metazoa; Arthropoda; Insecta; Lepidoptera; Nymphalidae. The record is from RNAcentral.
ACUAUUUUGGCAGAAAAAUGUAGUGAUUUUAGAAAUCAUGAAUGUAUAAAUUAUUAUAUAGGUAGUA